GCAGUAGCUCAGUGGUAGAGCUAUCGGCUGUUAACCGAUCGGUCGUAGGUUCGAGUCCUUCAUGGCUCA
Molecule: transfer RNA, 69 nt
Filed under: Bacillus anthracis (anthrax bacterium)
Lineage: Bacteria; Bacillati; Bacillota; Bacilli; Caryophanales; Bacillaceae
Description: tRNA-Asn
Rfam family: tRNA (bases 5-61)
About the family: Transfer RNA (tRNA) molecules are approximately 80 nucleotides in length.
Source: RNAcentral